This 253-nucleotide ribosomal RNA is filed under the name uncultured bacterium. Its description in RNAcentral is "partial 16S ribosomal RNA". It matches the Rfam family "Bacterial small subunit ribosomal RNA", at positions 524 to 776 of the family's 1533-position model. The record is from RNAcentral.
UACGGAGGGUGCAAGCGUUAUCCGGAUUCACUGGGUUUAAAGGGUGCGUAGGUGGGCAAGUAAGUCAGUGGUGAAAUCUCCGGGCUUAACCCGGAAACUGCCAUUGAUACUAUUUGUCUUGAAUACUGUGGAGGUCAGCGGAAUAUGUCAUGUAGCGGUGAAAUGCUUAGAUAUGACAUAGAACACCAAUUGCGAAGGCAGCUGGCUACACAAUGAUUGACGCUGAGGCACGAAAGCGUGGGGAUCAAACAGG